RNAcentral lists this unclassified non-coding RNA (256 nucleotides) under plant metagenome. Its description in RNAcentral is "partial contains 5.8S ribosomal RNA and internal transcribed spacer 2". The stretch from base 1 to 104 matches the Rfam family "5.8S ribosomal RNA", at positions 51 to 154 of the family's 154-position model. The record is from RNAcentral.
AAAUGCGCUAAGUAAUGUGAAUUGCAGAAUUCAGUGAAUCAUCGAAUCUUUGAACGCACCUUGCGCUCCUUGGUAUUCCGAGGAGCAUGCCUGUUUGAGUGUCAUGGAAUUCUCAACUCUAUUUGCUUUUGUGAAUAGAGCUUGGAUUUGGAGGUUUAUUGCUGGUACUUGUGAUCGGCUCCUCUUGAAUGCAUUAGCUCGAACCUUUGCGGAUCAGCUAUCGGUGUGAUAAUUGUCUACGCCGUUGCAGUGAAGC